CGAACGAGACUUUUUAUUUGAUGCUUGCAUCUUUUAAAAGUUGAGUGCCGAACGGGUGAGUAACACGUGGGUAACCUGCCUUAAAGUGGGCGAUAACACUUGGAAACAGGUGCUAAUACCGCAUAACCAUCAAAACCACCUGGUUUUGAUGUUAAAGAUGGUUCUGCUAUCGCUUUAAGAUGGACCCGCGGCGUAUUAGCUAGUUGGUGAGGUAACGGCUUACCAAGGCAAUGAUACGUAGCCGAACUGAGAGGUUGAUCGGCCACAUUGGGACUGAGACACGGCCCAAACUCCUACGGGAGGCAGCAGUAGGGAAUCUUCCACAAUGGACGAAAGUCUGAUGGAGCAACGCCGCGUGAGUGAAGAAGGUUUUCGGAUCGUAAAACUCUGUUGUCAGAGAAGAACGUGUGUGAGAGUAACUGUUCACGCAGUGACGGUAUCUGACCAGAAAGUCACGGCUAACUACGUGCCAGCAGCCGCGGUAAUACGUAGGUGGCAAGCGUUGUCCGGAUUUAUUGGGCGUAAAGGGAACGCAGGCGGUCUUUUAAGUCUGAUGUGAAAGCCUUCGGCUUAACCGAAGUCGGGCAUUGGAAACUGGGAGACUUGAGUGCAGAAGAGGAGAGUGGAACUCCGUGUGUAGCGGUGAAAUGCGUAGAUAUAUGGAAGAACACCAGUGGCGAAAGCGGCUCUCUGGUCUGUAACUGACGCUGAGGUUCGAAAGCGUGGGUAG
RNAcentral lists this ribosomal RNA (730 nucleotides) under uncultured bacterium. RNAcentral's name for it is "bacterial SSU rRNA". It matches the Rfam family "Bacterial small subunit ribosomal RNA", at positions 63 to 768 of the family's 1533-position model. The record is from RNAcentral.